UACGUAGGUGGCAAGCGUUAUCCGGAAUUAUUGGGCGUAAAGAGCGCGCAGGUGGUUAAUUAAGUCUGAUGUGAAAGCCCACGGCUUAACCGUGGAGGGUCAUUGGAAACUGGUUGACUUGAGUGCAGAAGAGGGAAGUGGAAUUCCAUGUGUAGCGGUGAAAUGCGUAGAGAUAUGGAGGAACACCAGUGGCGAAGGCGGCUCCCUGGUCUGCAACUGACACUGAGGCGCGAAAGCGUGGGGAGCAAACAGG
Molecule: ribosomal RNA, 253 nt
Filed under: uncultured bacterium
Lineage: Bacteria
Description: partial 16S ribosomal RNA
Rfam family: Bacterial small subunit ribosomal RNA
Source: RNAcentral